Molecule: ribosomal RNA, 1371 nt
Filed under: uncultured bacterium
Lineage: Bacteria
Description: bacterial SSU rRNA
Rfam family: Bacterial small subunit ribosomal RNA
Source: RNAcentral
AGAGUUUGAUCCUGGCUCAGGACGAACGCUGGCGGCGCGCCUAACACAUGCAAGUCGAACGAGCGAGAGAGAGCUUGCUUUCUCGAGCGAGUGGCGAACGGGUGAGUAACGCGUGAGGAACCUGCCUCAAAGAGGGGGACAACAGUUGGAAACGACUGCUAAUACCGCAUAAGCCCACGGGUCGGCAUCGACCAGAGGGAAAAGGAGCAAUCCGCUUUGAGAUGGCCUCGCGUCCGAUUAGCUAGUUGGUGAGGUAACGGCCCACCAAGGCAACGAUCGGUAGCCGGACUGAGAGGUUGAACGGCCACAUUGGGACUGAGACACGGCCCAGACUCCUACGGGAGGCAGCAGUGGGGAAUAUUGCACAAUGGGGGAAACCCUGAUGCAGCGACGCCGCGUGGAGGAAGAAGGUCUUCGGAUUGUAAACUCCUGUUGUUGAGGAAGAUAAUGACGGUACUCAACAAGGAAGUGACGGCUAACUACGUGCCAGCAGCCGCGGUAAAACGUAGGUCACAAGCGUUGUCCGGAAUUACUGGGUGUAAAGGGAGCGCAGGCGGGAAGACAAGUUGGAAGUGAAAUUCAUGGGCUCAACCCAUGAACUGCUUUCAAAACUGUUUUUCUUGAGUAGUGCAGAGGUAGGCGGAAUUCCCGGUGUAGCGGUGGAAUGCGUAGAUAUCGGGAGGAACACCAGUGGCGAAGGCGGCCUACUGGGCACCAACUGACGCUGAGGCUCGAAAGUGUGGGUAGCAAACAGGAUUAGAUACCCUGGUAGUCCACACCGUAAACGAUGAUUACUAGGUGUUGGAGGAUUGACCCCUUCAGUGCCGCAGUUAACACAAUAAGUAAUCCACCUGGGGAGUACGACCGCAAGGUUGAAACUCAAAGGAAUUGACGGGGGCCCGCACAAGCAGUGGAAGUAUGUGGGUUUAAUUCGACGCAACGCGAAGAACCUUACCAAGUCUUGACAUCCUGCGACGGUGCUGGAAACAGUACUUUCCUUCGGGACGCAGAGACAGGUGGUGCAUGGUUGUCGUCAGCUCGUGUCGUGAGAUGUUGGGUUAAGUCCCGCAACGAGCGCAACCCUUAUGGUCAGUUACUACGCAAGAGGACUCUGGCCAGACUGCCGUUGACAAAACGGAGGAAGGUGGGGAUGACGUCAAAUCAUCAUGCCCUUUAUGACUUGGGCUACACACGUACUACAAUGGCGUUAAACAAAGAGAAGCAAGACCGCGAGGUGGAGCAAAACUCAGAAACAACGUCCCAGUUCGGACUGCAGGCUGCAACUCGCCUGCACGAAGUCGGAAUUGCUAGUAAUCGUGGAUCAGCAUGCCACGGUGAAUACGUUCCCGGGCCUUGCACACACCGCCCGUC